AGGAAAUUAUAGCAUGUUCCUCAGCUGCUUCCGAGUAACAUAGCUUAUUUCUCCAGCAAGAAGAUCUGGGAAAGCUGCUGAGGGCUUAUAUGGCCACUGAAAGGAAUGCAGUCCUGGCUGAGUACUUUUUCCAGUGAAGAAAUGUUAAUUUGUUCCAUGCCAUCCCCAUUUUUUGUGCACCUAUGUUUAAAAUCAGCUUUCACUGAUCACCCCAGAGAGAGAGAAUUUGUAAAUACACUGUAUUAA
This 246-nucleotide long non-coding RNA is filed under the name Parus major (Great Tit). RNAcentral's name for it is "lncRNA (ENSPMJG00000012456.1)". Lineage: Eukaryota; Metazoa; Chordata; Aves; Passeriformes; Paridae. The record is from RNAcentral.